Molecule: non-coding RNA, 196 nt
Filed under: Bradyrhizobium sp.
Lineage: Bacteria; Pseudomonadati; Pseudomonadota; Alphaproteobacteria; Hyphomicrobiales; Nitrobacteraceae
Source: RNAcentral
CCCUACGGUCAUCCCGACGGCUCCCUUCGGGGAUUAAUAGGGAAUGCGGUGCAGGGGAUUGCCCUUAUGCCGCAGCUGCCCCCGCAACUGUAAGCGGUGAACCUCGCGUCAUAUGCCACUGGUAUCUCGGACCGGGAAGGCGACGUAGAGGUCACGACCCGCGAGCCAGGAGACCUGCCGUCAGCCGUGGUCACAC